AGGGUUUGUUUUUGCAAGUUUUUUGCACAUUACGUUAAGCAAGCCUGUUUGUGUGUGACCACUAGAGUCAGACUCCUUUGGCUCUCUCCUGGUACCUGAUGGAAGCAAAUGGGGCUUGUCAAACUCCAGAGGUCCUGGCAACUGCCGUAAAGUCAUGUACUUGUCCAGAAGACUGGGAAUGAAGAUGAGUUUGAAAAGGAAUCCAGAGAUAGCCUGUGAAUUCCCCUGUCCAUGGUUGAACAAGGGAAGCUGUUGAUUUAGAAGCCACUAGCAACUC
This 277-nucleotide long non-coding RNA is filed under the name Manacus vitellinus (golden-collared manakin). RNAcentral describes it as "lncRNA (ENSMVIG00005007378.1)". Lineage: Eukaryota; Metazoa; Chordata; Aves; Passeriformes; Pipridae. The record is from RNAcentral.